UCCAAAUAUUACACGGCAAAAAGAAAAGAAAAGCAACUCACAGCCGAGCAUGUAAAACAAAGCUAAUCCCCUGAUUCCCCUUUCUCACACCAGAGCGCCGCCGCCGCCGACGCCGAUCCCGGGAAGCUCCGGCGCACUCCCACCCCACUGCUCACUACCUGCCCCCACUCCCUCAAUAUUCUCCUCCGAUCUCCCCACCCCACCCCACCCGCCCUUCGCCCCGCUGCACGCGGCCCCGCAACAAGCCUAGUCGCCACGCGCCGCCGGCGCGGCUUCGACGGCUCCGGGUUGUCGGCCCAGUACACCUGCAUCUCCUCACGCGUGAUGGUGGUGCUCCGCCUCUUCUACCUCGACUCCGACGUUGAUGGUACUCCGCCUAGGGUUUCUGCACCGUGUUACUCCGUCGAGUAUGAGUGGAGAACACCGUGAUGCGAGUGAUUUCUCUCAAUAAUUUUCUUAGUCAGAUCGAUCUACAACACAUACGCAUUGCAAUUAUGAGAAAGCCAUCAAUAUGCAGAUGAAGCCUUAAGAAUUAUUUAAGUCAUUGUAAUUAUAUAUAUCAUGGUGAGGGCCCUUCCGCUGGUAAGGAAAACUUAGAUUUUUUGCGUAUUAUAUAUUUUUUGAUUGAUGUAACAUUUGUUUUCCCCUGACAAAAAGUAAUGUUUGUUUCAUGUUCUUAUUCAGUAAAAAUGUGCACAGCACAAUCUCAAAUUUUAUGCAAAAGCUCAGAUGGCAAUAGUACUUACACUCAUGUUAUCCAAUAUAAACUGUUGAAUGAUUGAUACAAUUUGAAGGUACUUCUCAAUUUUUGUACUAAUUUUCUAUUUUGGGGAAAGCCACAUAUGUUUCCAACAAUAGAAUGAUGUGUGAUGGUCAUCACACAAACUCCUGGCCAGAUGCCUCUCACAUCUUAUCUUGUUUGUAAUAUAUUCUCCUUAAACUGUUUAACACAAUGAGCAUGUAGAUGUAGUUGGUUCAUCAACGUAAACAUCAAAAGUAUUCCUCUUAUGCAGUCAGCUUCCCUGACAUGCAGGGCACACUAAGGUGGUGGGAAGAUACAUACAACCGUUAACCUGACGGCUAAGCGAUCAGAUGCGGCGAUUGUGUGAGUGUGUCAGGUUACAGAAACUUGAUUGUUCCAAGACAAUGUUGUUGGCACUAAAACCUAAAAGACUACUGGUGCCAAGCUGGAUUUGCUAGGAGAUUGCAAGAUAAAUUGGUGAUGCAUGGUCAGAUGUUGAUUGCAAGGUCAAGAACAUGGGUGCUACUAGAUAGUUUCACAUUGUGUUUCAGAAUGUCAUUUUCAUUGUCGAUGUGUCAAUCAUUAUGAUUCAGGCAUUUUCAGUGUCAAUGUUUAGAUCAUUAUGUUUCAAAAUGCCUGGGACGUUGGUUGCAAGAUCAAGAAUAGGACCAGUACUAGUUUCACAUCUUGUAAUCUUUGUAUCCAGAUCCUUGUAAUGCAACCAAGUUGAUUUAAUAUAUGAGACAGUUUUGUUUGUUA
Molecule: long non-coding RNA, 1501 nt
Organism: Triticum dicoccoides
Lineage: Eukaryota; Viridiplantae; Streptophyta; Magnoliopsida; Poales; Poaceae
Exons: 5
Source: RefSeq, a predicted model, not a curated record